RNAcentral lists this long non-coding RNA (541 nucleotides) under Brassica rapa (field mustard). RNAcentral's name for it is "long non-coding RNA (BRAP_LNC005361)". The record is from RNAcentral. Lineage: Eukaryota; Viridiplantae; Streptophyta; Magnoliopsida; Brassicales; Brassicaceae.
UUCUAAAAUAAAAAAAAAGUAUUAGUAUUAUAAUUAUUUAUUUAUGUUUUAUUUUUUUUAAACUAGUUAAUCAUCUAUUCGAAUGACAUGUGUUCUUUUAGUUUUCUACAAUUUCUUAAAAACUCGUAAUUAGAACACUUCCAAUAAUAGUAUUAGGAGAAGUUCUUAGUAUUUAAAGAAAAAAAAAAGAAAUGAAAUUAGAAAAAAAAAUGAACUUAGUUAUGAAAUCUUAAGAAACUAUGAGAUAAUAAAAGGACACAUGUCAUUCAAAUAGAUAAUUAACUAAUUUAAAGAAAAUAAAAAAUAAAUAAAUAAUUAUAAUACUAAUAUUUUUCUUUUGUUUUAGAAACUUUCAUGGUUUCUAACCAUUGAAGGUGCUUUUAGAGCAUCAUUAUCAAGAGUUUUUUAAAGUAGUAUUUUAAGUUUCUUAAAUUUUUAGUUAAAAAUUAAGAAACAAUUUUUAUAUUUCUCUAAGAACCCCAGCCUAAGAAACUCGGGAUAAUGAUGAUUUUAGAGUUUUUCCAACGGUAAGUCCUAGACA